GACGAACGCUGGCGGCGUGCCUAAUACAUGCAAGUCGAGCGAAGCGGCGGAUGGGUGAGAAACGCGUGGGUAACCUGCCCUUAAGCCUGGGAUACCAGUUGGAAACAGAUGCUAAUACCGGAUACUAAAGGAUGGACUUGCGGUGCAUUAGACAGUGGGUAAGGUAACGGCUUACCAAGGCGAUGAUGCAUAGCCGGUUUGAGAGGCUGAUCGGCCACAUUGGGACUGAGACACGGCCCAAACUCCUACGGGAGGCAGCAGUAGGGAAUCUUCCACAAUGGACGAAAGUCUGAUGGAGCAACGCCGCGUGAGUGAAGAAGGUUUUCGGAUCGUAAAGCUCUGUUGUUGGUGAAGCGGUAAUCAAAGAGAAAGUCACGGCUAACUACGUGCCAGCAGCCGCGGUAAUAC
RNAcentral lists this ribosomal RNA (408 nucleotides) under uncultured bacterium. RNAcentral's name for it is "partial 16S ribosomal RNA". It matches the Rfam family "Bacterial small subunit ribosomal RNA", at positions 28 to 526 of the family's 1533-position model. The record is from RNAcentral.